GACGAACGCUGGCGGCGUGCUUAACACAUGCAAGUCGAACGGAAAGGCCCUGCUUUUGUGGGGUGCUCGAGUGGCGAACGGGUGAGUAACACGUGAGUAACCUGCCCUUGACUUUGGGAUAACUUCAGGAAACUGGGGCUAAUACCGGAUAGGAGCUCCUGCUGCAUGGUGGGGGUUGGAAAGUUUCGGCGGUUGGGGAUGGACUCGCGGCUUAUCAGCUUGUUGGUGGGGUAGUGGCUUACCAAGGCUUUGACGGGUAGCCGGCCUGAGAGGGUGACCGGCCACAUUGGGACUGAGAUACGGAGCAGACUCCUACGGGAGGCAGCAGGGGGGAAUAUUGAACAAUGGGCGGAAGCCUGAUGCAGCAACGCCGCGUGCGGGAUGACGGCCUUCGGGUUGUAAACCGCUUUCGCCUGUGACGAAGCGUGAGUGACGGUAAUGGGUAAAGAAGCACCGGCUAACUACGUG
RNAcentral lists this ribosomal RNA (468 nucleotides) under uncultured bacterium. Its description in RNAcentral is "partial 16S ribosomal RNA". It matches the Rfam family "Bacterial small subunit ribosomal RNA", at positions 28 to 507 of the family's 1533-position model. The record is from RNAcentral.